RNAcentral lists this unclassified non-coding RNA (23 nucleotides) under Arabidopsis thaliana (thale cress). The record is from RNAcentral. Lineage: Eukaryota; Viridiplantae; Streptophyta; Magnoliopsida; Brassicales; Brassicaceae.
AUGCAGCGUUGCGUAUCCAGACC